Molecule: ribosomal RNA, 498 nt
Filed under: uncultured bacterium
Lineage: Bacteria
Description: partial 16S ribosomal RNA
Rfam family: Bacterial small subunit ribosomal RNA
Source: RNAcentral
GACGAACGCUGGCGGCGUGCCUAAUACAUGCAAGUCGAACGAGAGCGACCGGUGCUUGCACUGGUCAAUCUAGUGGCGAACGGGUGAGUAACACGUGGGUAACCUGCCCAUCAGAGGGGGAUAACAUCCGGAAACGGAUGCUAAAACCGCAUAGGUCUUCGAACCGCAUGGUUUGAAGAGGAAAAGAGGCGCAAGCUUCUGCUGAUGGAUGGACCCGCGGUGCAUUAGCUAGUUGGUGAGGUAACGGCUCACCAAGGCCGUGAUGCAUAGCCGACCUGAGGGGGUGAUCGGCCACAUUGGGACUGGGACACGGCCCAAACUCCUACGGGAGGCAGCAGUAGGGAAUCUUCCGCAAUGGACGCAAGUCUGACGGAGCAACGCCGCGUGAGUGAAGAAGGUGUUCGGAUCGUAAAACUCUGUUGUUGGAGAAGAACAAGUGCUGGAGUAACUGUUAGCGCCUUGACGGUAACUAACCAGAAAGCCACGGCUAACUACGUG